Eriocheir sinensis (Chinese mitten crab) is the source of this 443-nucleotide long non-coding RNA. RefSeq lists it as uncharacterized. The record is from RefSeq and is a predicted model, not a curated record. Lineage: Eukaryota; Metazoa; Arthropoda; Malacostraca; Decapoda; Varunidae. The transcript is spliced from 4 exons.
AAGGAAGGUGCUGGAAAGUGUUAUGAGGGGGAGUGCUGCCAGCCUCAACAGCACUAAAGGGUGUGGCUGCUGAGAAGGGGAGGAAGGAAGGUGCUGGGAGGUGUUAUGAGGGGGAGUGCUGCCAGCCUCAACAGCACUAAAGGGUGUGGCUGCUGAGAAGGGGAGGAAGGAAGGUGCUGGGAGGUGUUAUGAGGGGGAGUGCUGCCAGCCUCAACAGCACUAAAGGGUGUGGCUGCUGAGAAGGGGAGGAAGGAAGGUGCUGGGAGGUGUUAUGAGGGGGAGUGCUGCCAGCCUCAACAGCACUAAAGGGUGUGGCUGCUGAGAAGGGGAGGAAGGAAGGUGCUGGGAGGUGUUAUGAGGGGGAGUGCUGCCAGCCUCAACAGCACUAAAGGGUGUGGCUGCUGAGAAGGGGAGGAAGGAAGGUGCUGGGAGGUGUUAUGAGG